UAGAAUUCCACGUGUAACGGUGAAAUGCGUAGAGAUGUGGAGGAAUACCGGUGGCGAAGGCGGCCUUCUGGACAGAUACUGACGCUGAGAUGCGAAAGCGUGGGGAGCAAACAGGAUUAGAUACCCUGGUAGUCCACGCUGUAAACGAUGUCGAUUUGGAGUUUGUUGCCCUGAGUGAUGGGCUCCGAAGCUAACGCGAUAAAUCGACCGCCUGGGGAGUACGGCCGCAAGGUUAAAACUCAAAUGAAUUGACGGGGGCCCGCACAAGCGGUGGAGCAUGUGGUUUAAUUCGAUGCAACGCGAAGAACCUUACCUGGUCUUGACAUCCACAGAAUCUUGCAGAGAUGCGAGAGUGCCUUCGGGAACUGUGAGACAGUGCUGCAUGGCUGUCGUCAGCUCGUGUUGUGAAAUGUUGGGUUAAGUCCCGCAACGAGCGCAACCCUUAUCCUUUGUUGCCAGCGAUUUCGGUCGGGAACUCAAAGGAGACUGCCGUUGAUAAAGCGGAGGAAGGUGGGGACGACGUCAAGUCAUCAUGGCCCUUACGACCAGGGCUACACACGUGCUACAAUGGCGUAUACAAAGGGAGGCGACCUCGCGAGAGCAAGCGGACCUCAUAAAGUACGUCUAAGUCCGGAUUGGAGUCUGCAACUCGACUCCAUGAAGUCGGAAUCGCUAGUAAUCGUGAAUCAGAAUGU
This 695-nucleotide ribosomal RNA is filed under the name uncultured Gilliamella sp. RNAcentral's name for it is "bacterial SSU rRNA". It matches the Rfam family "Bacterial small subunit ribosomal RNA", at positions 662 to 1357 of the family's 1533-position model. The record is from RNAcentral. Lineage: Bacteria; Pseudomonadati; Pseudomonadota; Gammaproteobacteria; Orbales; Orbaceae.